This 319-nucleotide ribosomal RNA is filed under the name uncultured bacterium. RNAcentral's name for it is "bacterial SSU rRNA". It matches the Rfam family "Bacterial small subunit ribosomal RNA", at positions 28 to 327 of the family's 1533-position model. The record is from RNAcentral.
GACUAACGCUGGCGGCAUGCAUCAUACAUGCAAGUCGAACGGAUUAGGUUGUAGCAAUACGAUCUAGUUAGUGGCGAACGGGUGAGUAACACGUAGGUAACCUGCCCUUGAGACCGGGAUAACAUGCCGAAAGGCGUGCUAAUACCGGAUGUCGACCACGGGCCCUCGGCAUGGGGGUUGGGGUAAAAGGAAUGGCAGCAAUGCUAUCGCUUGAGGAUGGGCCUGCGGGCUAUCAGCUAGUUGGUGGGGUAACGGCCUACCAAGGCUAUGACGGCUAGCCGGCUUGAGAGAGUGAACGGCCACACUGGAACUGAGACAC